This 465-nucleotide ribosomal RNA is filed under the name uncultured bacterium. RNAcentral describes it as "bacterial SSU rRNA". It matches the Rfam family "Bacterial small subunit ribosomal RNA", at positions 917 to 1382 of the family's 1533-position model. The record is from RNAcentral.
GGACCCGCACAAGCGGUGGAUUAUGUGGAUUAAUUCGAUGCAACGCGAAAAACCUUACCUACCCUUGACAUGUCCUGAAGCCCGGUGAGAGCUGGGUGUGCCCGAAAGGGAACGGGAACACAGGUGCUGCAUGGCUGUCGUCAGCUCGUGUCGUGAGAUGUUGGGUUAAGUCCCGCAACGAGCGCAACCCUUGUCAUUAGUUGCUACAUUCAGUUGGGCACUCUAAUGAGACUGCCGGUGACAAACCGGAGGAAGGUGGGGAUGACGUCAAGUCCUCAUGGCCCUUAUGGGUAGGGCUUCACACGUAAUACAAUGGCGCGUACAGAGGGCUGCUAAGCCGCGAGGUAGAGCCAAUCCCUUAAAGCGCGUCGUAGUCCGGAUUGCAGUCUGCAACUCGACUGCAUGAAGUCGGAAUCGCUAGUAAUCGCGGAUCAGCAUGUCGCGGUGAAUACGUUCCCGGGUCUU